Punica granatum (pomegranate) is the source of this 791-nucleotide non-coding RNA. The record is from RefSeq and is a predicted model, not a curated record. NCBI's taxonomy places the organism in Eukaryota, Viridiplantae, Streptophyta, Magnoliopsida, Myrtales, Lythraceae.
AUCGCCUAUAAGUAUGCAAAGCUAUUAGCCAUGGAUCAUAUAGCGAGAUUACCACUCACACAGCAGAAACCAGACUAAGAUAACAAAGGAAUCCGACCUGUUUCAAUCAUCAUGAAAGCACUUUUCAUGCUCUUCGUCGUGCUCGCUCUUGCCUCAGAGACCCUACAAGGGGCUGAUGCCAGGAGCUUGUUGGGUCCGAAGGAGCGCCAGCUUAUUGACACGGUCCACAAAGACAACACUGCCACCGCCAUGGGUGCAACGAAAAGCACUUCGACACCUGCCACUAUUACUUCAUCUUCAACAACCUCCACUGUGCCGUCCACGAAGACCAGCUCGUCACCGACCCGUUCGUCCACCAAUUCUAAAGCAGGGAGCAAGUCCACGGCUGAUGGCAAUUUACAUGCCCAGAGCAACGAUGUCGAUUUUUGGGGCGGGCCCACCACAGACCAGACGCACCAUGUGUGCCUCGACUAUAGCCAUCCAAAUAAAAGAUGCGUAUAAAGUUGGCGAUCAAUGACCACCAUGGUCAUUGAUGGACAACUGUGUGUAAUAAUGCUAGAUAAAUAAAGUGGAACAUCUAGUUUUCAUGCGAGAAGGUCGAUGGCAUAGAUAUGUUAUGCCGUUGUGCCGUGUGUGAUGUGUAUGUGUAUUUGUUUCUGGUUCCACAGCAAAAGUUUAACGAUAGACUUUUUCGUAUAUGCGUGUUUGUCGUGUGUCCUAAGUUAAAAAAUCUCAGAAAAAUGUAAGAAGGCAUGGUCUAAAUAUAGUCUAUGUCCAUGGUUUUUAUGAUU